RNAcentral lists this transfer RNA (72 nucleotides) under Cavia porcellus (domestic guinea pig). It matches the Rfam family "tRNA". From Rfam's summary of the family: Transfer RNA (tRNA) molecules are approximately 80 nucleotides in length. Their secondary structure includes four short double-helical elements and three loops (D, anti-codon, and T loops). The record is from Rfam by way of RNAcentral. Lineage: Eukaryota; Metazoa; Chordata; Mammalia; Rodentia; Caviidae.
AGGGAUGUAGCUCAGCAGCAUAGCACCUGCCUGGCAAGCGUGAGGCCCUGAGUUUGAUUCCCAGUACCCCUU